RNAcentral lists this ribosomal RNA (1287 nucleotides) under Escherichia coli. Its description in RNAcentral is "partial 23S ribosomal RNA". It matches the Rfam family "Bacterial large subunit ribosomal RNA", at positions 1573 to 2844 of the family's 2925-position model. The record is from RNAcentral. Lineage: Bacteria; Pseudomonadati; Pseudomonadota; Gammaproteobacteria; Enterobacterales; Enterobacteriaceae.
GGCACUACGGUGCUGAAGCAACAAAUGCCCUGCUUCCAGGAAAAGCCUCUAAGCAUCAGGUAACAUCAAAUCGUACCCCAAACCGACACAGGUGGUCAGGUAGAGAAUACCAAGGCGCUUGAGAGAACUCGGGUGAAGGAACUAGGCAAAAUGGUGCCGUAACUUCGGGAGAAGGCACGCUGAUAUGUAGGUGAAGCGACUUGCUCGUGGAGCUGAAAUCAGUCGAAGAUACCAGCUGGCUGCAACUGUUUAUUAAAAACACAGCACUGUGCAAACACGAAAGUGGACGUAUACGGUGUGACGCCUGCCCGGUGCCGGAAGGUUAAUUGAUGGGGUUAGCGGUAACGCGAAGCUCUUGAUCGAAGCCCCGGUAAACGGCGGCCGUAACUAUAACGGUCCUAAGGUAGCGAAAUUCCUUGUCGGGUAAGUUCCGACCUGCACGAAUGGCGUAAUGAUGGCCAGGCUGUCUCCACCCGAGACUCAGUGAAAUUGAACUCGCUGUGAAGAUGCAGUGUACCCGCGGCAAGACGGAAAGACCCCGUGAACCUUUACUAUAGCUUGACACUGAACAUUGAGCCUUGAUGUGUAGGAUAGGUGGGAGGCUUUGAAGUGUGGACGCCAGUCUGCAUGGAGCCGACCUUGAAAUACCACCCUUUAAUGUUUGAUGUUCUAACGUUGGCCCGUUAUCCGGGUUGCGGACAGUGUCUGGUGGGUAGUUUGACUGGGGCGGUCUCCUCCUAAAGAGUAACGGAGGAGCACGAAGGUUGGCUAAUCCUGGUCGGACAUCAGGAGGUUAGUGCAAUGGCAUAAGCCAGCUUGACUGCGAGCGUGACGGCGCGAGCAGGUGCGAAAGCAGGUCAUAGUGAUCCGGUGGUUCUGAAUGGAAGGGCCAUCGCUCAACGGAUAAAAGGUACUCCGGGGAUAACAGGCUGAUACCGCCCAAGAGUUCAUAUCGACGGCGGUGUUUGGCACCUCGAUGUCGGCUCAUCACAUCCUGGGGCUGAAGUAGGUCCCAAGGGUAUGGCUGUUCGCCAUUUAAAGUGGUACGCGAGCUGGGUUUAGAACGUCGUGAGACAGUUCGGUCCCUAUCUGCCGUGGGCGCUGGAGAACUGAGGGGGGCUGCUCCUAGUACGAGAGGACCGGAGUGGACGCAUCACUGGUGUUCGGGUUGUCAUGCCAAUGGCACUGCCCGGUAGCUAAAUGCGGAAGAGAUAAGUGCUGAAAGCAUCUAAGCACGAAACUUGCCCCGAGAUGAGUUCUCCCUGACUCCUUGAGAGUCCUGAAGGA